GAUGAACGCUGGCGGCGUGCUUAACACAUGCAAGUCGAACGAAGCUGCUUAACUGAUCUUCUUCGGAAUUGAUGUUUUGUAGACUGAGUGGCGGACGGGUGAGUAACGCGUGGGUAACCUACCCUGUACAGGGGGAUAACAGUCAGAAAUGACUGCUAAUACCGCAUAAGACCACAGCACCGCAUGGUGCAGGGGUAAAAGCUCCGGUGGUACAGGAUGGACCCGCGUCUGAUUAGCUGGUUGGUGAGGUAACGGCUCACCAAGGCGACGAUCAGUAGCCGGCUUGAGAGAGUGAACGGCCACAUUGGGACUGAGACACGGCCCAAACUCCUACGGGAGGCAGCAGUGGGGAAUAUUGCACAAUGGGGGAAACCCUGAUGCAGCGACGCCGCGUGAGUGAAGAAGUAUCUCGGUAUGUAAAGCUCUAUCAGCAGGGAAGAAAAUGA
RNAcentral lists this ribosomal RNA (446 nucleotides) under uncultured bacterium. Its description in RNAcentral is "bacterial SSU rRNA". It matches the Rfam family "Bacterial small subunit ribosomal RNA", at positions 28 to 454 of the family's 1533-position model. The record is from RNAcentral.